UUCGACACACUAUCAUUAACUGAAUCCAUAGGUUAAUGAGGCGAACCGGGGGAACUGAAACAUCUAAGUACCCCGAGGAAAAGAAAUCAACCGAGAUUCCCCCAGUAGCGGCGAGCGAACGGGGAGCAGCCCAGAGCCUGAAUCAGUAUGUGUGUUAGUGGAAGCGUCUGGAAAGGCGCGCGAUACAGGGUGACAGCCCCGUACACAAAAAUGCACAUGCUGUGAGCUCGAUGAGUAGGGCGGGACACGUGGUAUCCUGUCUGAAUAUGGGGGGACCAUCCUCCAAGGCUAAAUACUCCUGACUGACCGAUAGUGAACCAGUACCGUGAGGGAAAGGCGAAAAGAACCCCGGCGAGGGGAGUGAAAAAGAACCUGAAACCGUGUACGUACAAGCAGUGGGAGCACGCUUAGGCGUGUGACUGCGUACCUUUUGUAUAAUGGGUCAGCGACUUAUAUUCUGUAGCAAGGUUAACCGAAUAGGGGAGCCGAAGGGAAACCGAGUCUUAACUGGGCGUUAAGUUGCAGGGUAUAGACCCGAAACCCGGUGAUCUAGCCAUGGGCAGGUUGAAGGUUGGGUAACACUAACUGGAGGACCGAACCGACUAAUGUUGAAAAAUUAGCGGAUGACUUGUGGCUGGGGGUGAAAGGCCAAUCAAACCGGGAGAUAGCUGGUUCUCCCCGAAAGCUAUUUAGGUAGCGCCUCGUGAAUUCAUCUCCGGGGGUAGAGCACUGUUUCGGCAAGGGGGUCAUCCCGACUUACCAACCCGAUGCAAACUGCGAAUACCGGAGAAUGUUAUCACGGGAGACACACGGCGGGUGCUAACGUCCGUCGUGAAGAGGGAAACAACCCAGACCGCCAGCUAAGGUCCCAAAGUCAUGGUUAAGUGGGAAACGAUGUGGGAAGGCCCAGACAGCCAGGAUGUUGGCUUAGAAGCAGCCAUCAUUUAAAGAAAGCGUAAUAGCUCACUGGUCGAGUCGGCCUGCGCGGAAGAUGUAACGGGGCUAAACCAUGCACCGAAGCUGCGGCAGCGACGCUGAUGCGUUGUUGGGUAGGGGAGCGUUCUGUAAGCCUGCGAAGGUGUGCUGUGAGGCAUGCUGGAGGUAUCAGAAGUGCGAAUGCUGACAUAAGUAACGAUAAAGCGGGUGAAAAGCCCGCUCGCCGGAAGACCAAGGGUUCCUGUCCAACGUUAAUCGGGGCAGGGUGAGUCGACCCCUAAGGCGAGGCCGAAAGGCGUAGUCGAUGGGAAACAGGUUAAUAUUCCUGUACUUGGUGUUACUGCGAAGGGGGGACGGAGAAGGCUAUGUUGGCCGGGCGACGGUUGUCCCGGUUUAAGCGUGUAGGCUGGUUUUCCAGGCAAAUCCGGAAAAUCAAGGCUGAGGCGUGAUGACGAGGCACUGCGGUGCUGAAGCAACAAAUGCCCUGCUUCCAGGAAAAGCCUCUAAGCAUCAGGUAACAUCAAAUCGUACCCCAAACCGACACAGGUGGUCAGGUAGAGAAUACCAAGGCGCUUGAGAGAACUCGGGUGAAGGAACUAGGCAAAAUGGUGCCGUAACUUCGGGAGAAGGCACGCUGAUAUGUAGGUGAAGUCCCUCGCGGAUGGAGCUGAAAUCAGUCGAAGAUACCAGCUGGCUGCAACUGUUUAUUAAAAACACAGCACUGUGCAAACACGAAAGUGGACGUAUACGGUGUGACGCCUGCCCGGUGCCGGAAGGUUAAUUGAUGGGGUUAGCGCAAGCGAAGCUCUUGAUCGAAGCCCCGGUAAACGGCGGCCGUAACUAUAACGGUCCUAAGGUAGCGAAAUUCCUUGUCGGGUAAGUUCCGACCUGCACGAAUGGCGUAAUGAUGGCCAGGCUGUCUCCACCCGAGACUCAGUGAAAUUGAACUCGCUGUGAAGAUGCAGUGUACCCGCGGCAAGACGGAAAGACCCCGUGAACCUUUACUAUAGCUUGACACUGAACAUUGAGCCUUGAUGUGUAGGAUAGGUGGGAGGCUUUGAAGUGUGGACGCCAGUCUGCAUGGAGCCGACCUUGAAAUACCACCCUUUAAUGUUUGAUGUUCUAACGUUGACCCGUAAUCCGGGUUGCGGACAGUGUCU
Molecule: ribosomal RNA, 2096 nt
Filed under: Escherichia coli
Lineage: Bacteria; Pseudomonadati; Pseudomonadota; Gammaproteobacteria; Enterobacterales; Enterobacteriaceae
Description: partial 23S ribosomal RNA
Rfam family: Bacterial large subunit ribosomal RNA
Source: RNAcentral